Long non-coding RNA from Phyllostomus discolor (pale spear-nosed bat), 2279 nucleotides. RefSeq lists it as uncharacterized. Lineage: Eukaryota; Metazoa; Chordata; Mammalia; Chiroptera; Phyllostomidae. The record is from RefSeq and is a predicted model, not a curated record. The transcript is spliced from 2 exons.
AGGGAAGAGCGACGGAAGUCAGAGCACCUUCCUGUCCCGCCCAGCUCGGGAGCGCACUGGUUCAUGAGCUGAAAAUACAGAAACACAGCACUUGAAAAACAUGGUACCCAGGACAAAUCUGAAGCCCUAUUCUCUGGGUGCAAAAACUCUAGGAAAAUAUGUACCUAAGGCUGAUAAGAGUUUGGAAUCUUACUCUUCCACAGUUAGUUCUUCUACUGCCAUAGCUGAUCCAAUUAUCUAACUCCGGAGGUGGAGAACGGCCAUCUUAUCUGUUUAGUUUAAAUUCCUGCCAUUCCAGAUAAUGGAUCUGGUGUACUGCUUCUGGCUGUUCCUCUCAGAGUGAGGCCUCUGAGAGCUGGACGACUAACAGAUGAAUCAUCUGAUAAAGGCACUUUGUACCUGGCUAGUGAGCAGCAGGUUCGUCAACUAAGAUCUCAAAUCUACUUUUUGUCUGCCUUUAGCAGGUAAAUGAGGUUUGAUUUAUAAUUUUUAAAAGCUCACUACAAAUGGUCAUGUGGAGUGUAUCCAAGCCAGUGAAAAGCAGAAGGAAAUCAAUCAGGAAGCUACUGCAGUCCAGGCAAGAGGUGGUGAUGGCUCCACCUGGGGCGGUAGAAAUGGAAGUGAAGACGGGGGAGAGUAAACUACAUGGCGAGGGGAGAGCAAAGGUUAAGUUGAAGCAGAAGAAAAAUUUCCAAAGUACUCCCUCUAAAGAAAGGUAGGAAGAAUAUGUUUUAACUGAUUUUUAAAAUACUUAAACAUACAAAAAAUAUAAAACUGGAACAAAUUCACUAUCCACCUUAAGAAAUAAGACCUUCUAAAUUCACUUGUAGUCCAGGGUCCCAGAAGCAUUAUACUCAAUUUGGUGUUUAUCAUUCUGGUGCAUGUUUUCAUACUAUGCUUAUGUAUACUAAAAUAUAAACAUAUUUGUAUAUACUGUAUACUUUGUAUAUCCAUAAACAGUAGAGAGCAUUUUUGCGUGUUUUGAAACCUUAUACAGAUGGUAUACUUGAUGUUAUGUAGUAACUUGCUUUCCCCAGAUGUUAUUUCUGAGAUGUGUUCUUGAUGAAAAAGCCCUUGUUUCAUAGCUGUAGUUUUCCACUGUAUGACUGUCACAGUUUAUCCUUUCUCCUGACAAUGGACAAUUGGGUUAUAUAAAUUAGAGUAAGCUAACAAAGAGACCCAGAAAUGUAUGUCUCAAACAAUGGACAUUUAUUUCUUGCUCGUAUAUUCAUCUGAUAGAUAUUCCAGGUUGACAAGUAGCCCUUCCGGGGGUGAUUCAGAGUCAGCCAUCCUCCGUUUUGUGCUCUAACAUCCUACAGCCCCAUUGUCAUCUGCACCUGAGGAAGGGGGAAGCAUGGACAUACACUCACUCCAAAGUUCUAGCCUGGAAGUGACACCAUCACGUCCACUCACAUUCCACUGGAGAGAAGUUGGCUACCCCUUCCCCACUGGGGACGGGGAGUAAAGGGCUGGGAACUGUAGUCUAGCCAUUUGUUCUAUGAGCCUAUAAUUUUGCAAGCUGAGAGCAGAUUUUGGUGGACAGCAGAAGUCUCCACUACAUGUUGUUUCCAGUGUCUAUUAUGAACUGAACUCCAAUAGCCACACUUGUUUGCGUCCCCUGGUACACCUGAGCAAGAGGAGUUUCUCUGUCCAUACCUGGGAACGAGACUGUUCAGUCUGAGGGCCUAUUUUCAACUGUACCGGAGAUGCUGCCAAAUCCUUUUCAAAGUGAUUGUACGAAUUCACAUUCCAAAUCACACAUCAGAGUUCAUGGCUCCAAAACCCAACCUUAUCUGAUAUUGUCAAACUUAAGUUUGUUAUGCUAAUGAACUUUUAAUAAAACUUAAAACCUCAAAUAAAUAGUAUGAUCAGGAUAGUCUGUACUGAGUCCUGCUGAUGUCAGCCCCAGAAGAAAAAAGGGGUGCCUGUAAGGGCCAUGUGAGACUGGGCAAGUUUGCUAAUGCUUACCACUUGAAUCUCCAAUUACUCCUUUUAGCCAGCAGAUUGUGGGGGCUGAGGAACAACCAAGACAACUGCAUUUGGUACUUAUUUCAAACUCAUUACCAUCUCUAGCCAUUUUCUUACGCCCAUAUACUGUAUCAGCAAGGAGUCAAGUAGCAGGUCGGAAGUCAAUGAAAAACGAAACAUCAAUUUGAGAGUCAUUUAUUUGUCAUUAACAAACAUUUCCCAAGUCUUACUCACCAGAAAUUAACACAGCUUCUUCAUUUCUCCUCCCUGACAAUCCUCAUCUACUGAAAGGGCUCUAAAUGCGCAAGUGC